AUGAAGCUUGGGACCAUUGAGAUUCUGAUGGGAGCGGGACUUGUGUGCCACUCAUGGCUGGUAGCAGCCAAGUCCCCUGAGUUGUGGCGUUUCGUGGACAUGACACGCCACAAGGUGGUUUUCUCAGAGGCGGAAAAGGUCAUGUGCAAAAUGGCAAAAGUGGCUAUAGAUCGCUCCGAUGGACGGAUGGAAUCGUUCUGGGCUCAGAAGUUUGUCACUAGCGAACUCUUGAAUUAUAUUGCAAGCAGGUGCCACUCACUAAAGAGCAUUCGGCUCAUCGGCACCAUGUACUUUUGGGAUGAUGAGGACGUAGUAAUUAAGCUUGCAGCUAAAUGUCCAAUGCUACAAGAGAUAGAGUGCUCUGAUCAGAAGCAGCCAUGGCCUUUUUUCACGAGGAUCGGCGCAGCGCGCCCAGAGUUGAAACGUCUAAGAGUCCGUUAUCCUUGGUUCGACUCAGAUUCAAUAUUGAUGAAUGACGAAGGCGAGAAGGAGGAGGAGUCUGAUGAGGCCUGGGAGGCGAGACAAAAUCAGGAGGCCUUUGCCAUAGCAGAGAGCUUGCAUGAGUUGCGGCUCCUUCAGAUGUCAGGCUAUGGCCUGACCAACAAAGGGGUAUACGCCAUCCUCGAAGGCUGCCCCCACCUUGAGUUCCUCGACCUUAGAGAAUGCCUCCACAUCGAAGUUAACGCUGAACUCCAAGCUCGUUGUGCCAAUAUCAGGCAUGUCCAGCUGCCAGGAGUGGGGCCUUAUGUACCGUGCCCCGAACUCCAUACCAUCGAGGCGGAUGAAGGUGAAGUGAUCCCGUUGCAAGAUAGGGUUCAAAUGAACCAGAAGUACAAGGGGCACAAGAGGAGUAGAGAUAAANNNNNNNNNNNNNNNGAUGACUACUAUGGCGAGAACUACUGCUGGGAUGACUACUCGCUCCCCUCGUCCCCUGGCUCGCCUGUCGUACCGAUGUACUCUAUGGCUGAUCCCAGAUACUACUGGGAGCUGUAA
Molecule: ribosomal RNA, 993 nt
Filed under: Triticum aestivum (bread wheat)
Lineage: Eukaryota; Viridiplantae; Streptophyta; Magnoliopsida; Poales; Poaceae
Description: partial small subunit ribosomal RNA
Source: RNAcentral